UAAGAAGGGUGCAAGAGUUAAUCGGAAUUACUGGGCGUAAAGCGCGCGUAGGUGGUUCGUUAAGUUGGAUGUGAAAGCCCCGGGCUCAACCUGGGAACUGCAUCCAAAACUGGCGAGCUAGAGUACGGUAGAGGGUGGUGGAAUUUCCUGUGUAGCGGUGAAAUGCGUAGAUAUAGGAAGGAACACCAGUGGCGAAGGCGACCACCUGGACUGAUACUGACACGGAGGUGAGAAAGCGGGGGGAGCACACAGGCUGCGAUAACCGCGUAGUCC
This 273-nucleotide ribosomal RNA is filed under the name uncultured bacterium. RNAcentral describes it as "partial 16S ribosomal RNA". It matches the Rfam family "Bacterial small subunit ribosomal RNA", at positions 524 to 796 of the family's 1533-position model. The record is from RNAcentral.